UGCGUAGGUGGUGAGGUAAGUCGGAUGUGAAAGCUCGGAGCUCAACUCCGAAAUGGCAUUGGAAACUACCUUGCUUGAGGAUUGGAGGGGGGACUGGAAUACUUGGUGUAGCAGUGAAAUGCGUAGAUAUCAAGUGGAACACCAGUGGCGAAGGCGAGUCCCUGGACAACUCCUGACACUGAGGCACGAAAGCUAGGGGAGCAAACA
Molecule: ribosomal RNA, 207 nt
Filed under: uncultured Verrucomicrobiota bacterium
Lineage: Bacteria; Pseudomonadati; Verrucomicrobiota
Description: uncultured Verrucomicrobia bacterium partial 16S ribosomal RNA
Rfam family: Bacterial small subunit ribosomal RNA
Source: RNAcentral